AAAAAAAAGAAAGAAAAAAAAAAAAGAACAAUGGGACUCGAGGAUGAACGUUCUCCGGACGCGUAAGUUCCGGAUUUUGUCGAGUGACGAUGAUGAACUGUGGCUCGAGGGAAGAAGUCGCGUACAGGGGGACGAAUCGGGGUGGGUGGAUGAUGGAUGAAUGUGUUGGAUGAACGCUGCUUAUUCGAAUUUUUGGAUGAAUAAAUUUCGUAGAUGUAUUCACAGCGUGUCUCUGCAAUGAUCGAAGAGUAUGUUAUGAAAGAGAGUAUAGGUGUAAUAAUUUUUUUUUUUUUUGUGUUUUUGAUAAUUAAUAAUAUUUUUCAACUUUAUAAAUAUGAUGACGCGAGAACAAUGAAAUAUACGUUUUGAUAUUCUUUGUAAUACUUUCUUUUUUUUGUGUCCAGUUUUUAGUCCAAAAAGAGACAAUGAAAUUCGAAACAUCCAGCGUUCUAAUCACGCGAAAAAUAGAUAUUGAAACGUAUGCAUAUGUACACGAGUCGGUAUUAGGAAUUAAAUUCGCCCUCUGUAAUCCCAUAUUCGGCGAGAUGCCGAUAGUCGCUUUGCGUCAUAAUUUCCAUAUCAUAAGAACAAUGCUUUCUCAAUCCUCCCAAUUCACUUUUGUAAUUUACGCGCGCACGGCGU
This is a long non-coding RNA of Apis dorsata (giant honeybee), 642 nucleotides long. RefSeq lists it as uncharacterized. The record is from RefSeq and is a predicted model, not a curated record. The transcript is spliced from 2 exons. Lineage: Eukaryota; Metazoa; Arthropoda; Insecta; Hymenoptera; Apidae.